This 301-nucleotide ribosomal RNA is filed under the name uncultured bacterium. Its description in RNAcentral is "partial 16S ribosomal RNA". It matches the Rfam family "Bacterial small subunit ribosomal RNA", at positions 509 to 807 of the family's 1533-position model. The record is from RNAcentral.
CAGCCGCCACGGUAAUACGGAGGGUGCAAGCGUUAAUCGGAAUUACUGGGCGUAAAGCGUGCGUAGGCGGCUUCUUAAGUCGGAUGUGAAAUCCCUGAGCUUAACUUAGGAAUUGCAUUCGAUACUGGGAAGCUAGAGUAUGGGAGAGGAUGGUAGAAUUCCAGGUGUAGCGGUGAAAUGCGUAGAGAUCUGGAGGAAUACCGAUGGCGAAGGCAGCCAUCUGGCCUAAUACUGACGCUGAGGUACGAAAGCAUGGGGAGCAAACAGGAUUAGAUACCCCUGUAGUCCCUGUCUCUUAUAC